RNAcentral lists this ribosomal RNA (1110 nucleotides) under uncultured cyanobacterium. Its description in RNAcentral is "bacterial SSU rRNA". It matches the Rfam family "Bacterial small subunit ribosomal RNA", at positions 389 to 1514 of the family's 1533-position model. Lineage: Bacteria; Bacillati; Cyanobacteriota. The record is from RNAcentral.
GAGCAGCGCCGCGUGAGGGAUGAAGGCCUCUGGGCUGUAAACCUCUUUUCUCAAGGAAGAAGACAUGACGGUACUUGAGGAAUAAGCCACGGCUAAUUCCGUGCCAGCAGCCGCGGUAAUGCGGGAGUGGCAAGCGUUAUCCGGAAUUAUUGGGCGUAAAGCGUCCGCAGGCGGCCUUGUAAGUCUGUCGUCAAAGCGUGGAGCUCAACUCCAUUUAAGCGAUGGAAACUACAAGGCUGGAGUGUGGUAGGGGCAGAGGGAAUUCCCGGUGUAGCGGUGAAAUGCGUAGAUAUCGGGAAGAACACCAGUGGCGAAGGCGCUCUGCUGGGCCAUAACUGACGCUCAUGGACGAAAGCCAGGGGAGCGAAAGGGAUUAGAUACCCCUGUAGUCCUGGCCGUAAACGAUGAACACUAGGUGUCGGGGGAAUCGACCCCCUCGGUGUCGUAGCCAACGCGUUAAGUGUUCCGCCUGGGGAGUACGCACGCAAGUGUGAAACUCAAAGGAAUUGACGGGGGCCCGCACAAGCGGUGGAGUAUGUGGUUUAAUUCGAUGCAACGCGAAGAACCUUACCAGGGUUUGACAUCCUGCGAAUCCCUUGGAAACGAGGGAGUGCCUUCGGGAGCGCAGAGACAGGUGGUGCAUGGCUGUCGUCAGCUCGUGUCGUGAGAUGUUGGGUUAAGUCCCGCAACGAGCGCAACCCACGUCUUUAGUUGCCAGCAUUCAGUUGGGCACUCUAGAGAGACCGCCGGUGAUAAACCGGAGGAAGGUGUGGAUGAUGUCAAGUCAUCAUGCCCCUUACAUCCUGGGCUACACACGUACUACAAUGCUACGGACAAAGGGCAGCAAGCUCGCGAGAGUAAGCAAAUCCCAUAAACCGUGGCUCAGUUCAGAUCGUAGGCUGCAACUCGCCUACGUGAAGGAGGAAUCGCUAGUAAUCGCAGGUCAGCAUACUGCGGUGAAUACGUUCCCGGGCCUUGUACACACCGCCCGUCACACCAUGGAAGUUGGCCAUGCCCGAAGUCGUUACUCCAACCCUUGUGGAGGAGGACGCCGAAGGUGGGGCUGAUGACUGGGGUGAAGUCGUAACAAGGUAGCCGUACCGGAAGGUG